Molecule: ribosomal RNA, 276 nt
Filed under: uncultured bacterium
Lineage: Bacteria
Description: partial 16S ribosomal RNA
Rfam family: Bacterial small subunit ribosomal RNA
Source: RNAcentral
UCUAAGUUUGAUGGCGACCGGCGCACGGGUGAGUAACACGUAUCCAACCUGCCGAUGACUCGGGGAUAGCCUUUCGAAAGAAAGAUUAAUACCCGAUAGCAUAAUGAUUCCGCAUGGUUUCAUUAUUAAAGGAUUCCGGUAAAGGAUGGGGAUGCGUUCCAUUAGGUUGUUGGCGGGGUAACGGCCCACCAAGCCUUCGAUGGAUAGGGGUUCUGAGAGGAAGGUCCCCCACAUUGGAACUGAGACACGGUCCAAACUCCUACGGGAGGCAGCAUG